Molecule: ribosomal RNA, 492 nt
Filed under: uncultured bacterium
Lineage: Bacteria
Description: partial 16S ribosomal RNA
Rfam family: Bacterial small subunit ribosomal RNA
Source: RNAcentral
AUUGAACGCUGGCGGCAUGCUUUACACAUGCAAGUCGAACGGUAACAGGCCUUCGGGUGCUGACGAGUGGCGCACGGGUGAGUAAUGCAUCGGAACGUGCCCAGAGGUGGGGGAUAACGCAGCGAAAGCUGUGCUAAUACCGCAUGUGAUCUGAGGAUGAAAGCGGGGGACCAGGCAGCAAUGUUUGGCCUCGCGCCUUUGUAGCGGCCGAUGUCAGAUUAGGUAGUUGGUGGGGUAAAGGCCUACAAAGCCGACGAUCUGUAGCUGGUCUGAGAGGACGAGCAGACAAACUGGGACUGAGACACGGCCCAGACUCCUACGGGAGGCAGCAGGGGGGAAUUUUGGACAAUGGGCGCAAGCCUGAUCCAGCAAUGACGCGUGCGGGAAGAAGGCCUUCGGGUUGUAAAACGCUUUUGUACGGAACGAAAAGGCUCUGGCUAAUACCUGGGGAUGAUGACGGUACCGUAAGAAUAAGCACCGGCUAACUACGUG